CGCCUCCCCGCGCCCCCGUCCCCCGAUCUGGAAAAGCCCGGUGUGCGGCGGCGGUUCUCGUCCGCGCCAGCGAGACUGACCCUUGCGAAGUUGUUUUUGCGUGUGUUAUCUGCAAGACAGCCUCAAAACACUUGCUUCAUAGAGGAGACCCCUGAAGCCAGUGAGAUCUGAAACCAGCCUUGAACAAUCCAUAGAUCUCUGACAAGGCAAGGGGAGAAGGCCCGACCCGUGCAAGGCAUUAUGAAAUGAAGAGCACAUAUGCCCUCGAAGACAGAAUUUGUGGAUUUGAGUAGACAGGCUCAGCUGCUUACCGACUGGGUCGCCCCAAGAACAUAUGGAAUCCACUGACUUCAGGAAAUAUUUUCAGAGCGCACACAUAUUUCUUCAAGACGUUAACAUCCCAGGGGAGGAGGAGGAAUAAAAACAUGACAGGGAGUAAUUUAAAAUGGCAGUUUUUGGUCCAUGAUUUGGAGAAGAAUGUCCAGUAUGAGAAUGGAAUGAACUGACUGAGACCUUAUGUCUGUACAGCUGCAUUUAUCAGUAGUUCCACAGAUGCCCACCUGAAUUAUCAGCCAUGACAAUAUAAUAGAGGUCUGCUGAGGGUACAGGCAACUUUCCAGGGCAGCUGUCUUCCAUGUGGGAGCUCAGAACCUCAGGCUAAUUCAAUCAUGUGGCAUGUCCAUAACAAGUUCUUCUGGGAUUGCUGCGGCAGUGAAGAAAAUCUGCACGGUCCUAUAGGUGGCUGUGACAGUUCCUUGCCACCAUCAUUCAAAGGUUGUUUAAAAGUGAUUCCUCUUAAACACCAGAGAAUGGACCAGUUGGCCUAUCAAGGUCCCCUCCACCCAUAGAAGCCCACGAAUGCCAUCAAAUAAUGGAGGCUUUCCUUUCGUGCAAAUGAACAGCUCUUCAGAAACUCAUAGUUGCUUCAAAAGGGAAGAACAUUCAGAACAUGAGCAGGGAAAUUAUGACUUGACAGAAAAAUGAUUGUGUUGUCAUCACUGCAGUACCGAUGAGUGGGGCUUAGUCUUACCAUGAUCCUGUAGAAUGUUUGAUUUCCUCUCGCUUUUGAAGCCUUCAAAAUUCAGCAUCUCUGGAACUCCAGAAUUCUCCACUCUAGAAGAUGAAUGGCUAAUUUCAUCCUAGUAUGAAUCAUCUAAGGGAGUUUUCUGGUUUUACAUAUGAGAAAUCUCAAGCCGAAGACUCUUGGAUGACUAAGUUCUGGAGCUGACAUUAAAUCAAGCUCCCUUCCUUGGCCGGUCUGCUUCACGCUGCACAGAUGUUUCUCCUAUUGCUGCUACAUGGUGAUUUUUCAAGCGGCUUCAUCGACAGAUAUUUCCAGAUGUGUCCCCCCAGUUCUCUGGAUAGACCUUUUCUCCUUACAAAGAGCAGAUCGCACUGCUGCUCAGGCUUUUGAUCUAUUGACUAUAGAAAAAACAAACAGCCCUCUAUUGAUGUGUUUUGGGGGGCUUUGGCAAUAGCACACACAAUAAGUGUCUUCUUCACUCUUUGAAACACUACUGGCAGAUGUUUCCCAUGGACUCCUCCACCCAGCAGUUUUUAUUCUCACAUUCUCCUUCCAGGGGGAAAAAUGGAUUAAUGAGGUUCAGUCUCUGCUUUCCAUUUUUAUUUGCUUUAAUGUUAUCCUUACCUGCACUUUGAGGUUAACAGCCAAAUUUAGUUCUUACCAAGUAAAGACCUGGCUAAUAUCUUAUGUCAGUAAAAAGAGAGAGAGACUGCAAGCAGUGAGAGGGGCAGCAGGAGAGAGAGAAGCAAAUUCCCCGCUGAGGAGGGAGCCUGAUGUGAGGCUCCAUGAAUCCUAGGAUUCUAGGAUUGUGACCCAAGCUGAAAAUAGAUGCUUAACUGGCUGAGCCACCCUGGCACCCCAACAGUAUUGCAUUUGAAUGAAGAGAAGGAAAUAACUCAGCAAAAUGGUAGAUCUUGUAAUGCUUUUCUUCUCCAGUCAAAAGUGUUUUUGUCUACAAAACAUCAGAUUUGAAUGACCCAAUAUUUACUACCUGGAACCACCCCCUUGAAAUGAAUUCUACACUUUGUCUCUGUAAUAUCUGUAAUAUCGCCUCCUACUGUUCUGGUAAUGCUAUUUCUUCUAAUUGAAAUUGUUUUCUAUUUCCUUCAUAUCAACUUUCUAUUUUCAAACAAUAGAAAUUAUGCCCAUUCCCUUCUAAGUCCAACUCAAUCUCUGUUCCCAUCAGAGAUGUUCCGCAAAUCUUAUCAACUAGUAUACUACCUUAUUUGUCUAAACUCAAUUUCAUUGAUUUCUUUUGCCUGUGUUGGGAUUCCCAGGUAUAAAAGCCUGAGACUAAAGAACUAGUAUUUUACUGGGAGGUGAAAUUCCAGGUCAACAACAUGAAAGAAUAUGGACCUGAGAUAAGAAAGAAUGAGGCUAAGGUACUACGUCACUGAGCUGCCUCCUGUUUUGUGAAUAUAAAGAGGUACCUGGUUGCUUGGUGCGUGAGACUUCUCCAGAAAAUCCUUAUAGGAAACCACGCCUUGUGAUGGAAGAAAGGGUCAGCUGGCUUUUAGUUCUCCCUCUAUCCCAUCUCCUGUCUCGUAUUAGUUGAAGGUUGCCUCUUUGGAGGUUGACUCCCCUACAUUUGCAAACUGUAUUCCUGGGCCCUUUUGAGAUAAUGUUGGGAAUGCCACUUUCAUGCCCUCCAGUGUGGUCAUUCUUCUAAAUAUGAUAAACAUGCAUGAAACAUUUGUAAAUAUGAUAUAUAUAUUAGGCUUUAAACAAAAUCCUACAAAGUUCAAAAGACUGGAAAAAUUUAGACUCUGUUCUUUAAUGCACUGUAUGUGAAUACCAUAAAAUAUUCGAUCUAAUUAUUAUAGUUCUAGGUUAUUUUAUUUCACACAAGGAGUUUUUGCUGAAUAUCCUUGUACAUCUCGAUUAUCUUAACAGUUUUAAACCCACCUGUAUUUCUUUAGUUUAUGACUGUUAAGACUAAGAAGAAUUUAUACCACAAUAUAAUACUAUUUGUAUAGUACUUGAAUGGCAUAUAUAAUAUUGAGAAUAUUAUAUAUUAUAUUGAUAUUUAUGUGGUUUGUAUUUUAUUAUAUUAUAGUAUAAUAUACGUUUAUAUUAUCUCUAUGCAGUAAACAUAGCAUGUAUACAUAGGAAUAAAUAUUUUAUGUACAUACAUAUAUGGUAUAUAUAAAAUGAUCUUCUAUGAGAUUUCUGAGGUUGUUUGUUGUCAAUAACUUAGUUAUGAACUGCCUUUCCUAACUGAUGGAGCUGGUAUUCCAACUUUAGUUAAUCUCCACAAGAAUUCAUUUUUCUUGGUAUAAUUUUGCCUGUAUGAGCCCGGAGUUCUCUCUGUGGGAAGGUUUUCAUUUAAAGAUUCAAAUACUUCACUGAUGAUUUACUAACAAUUAUUAACGAUUGCUUUAGGCCUUUUCAGCUUUUCUAUUUCUUCUUCUGUCAGUUUUUAUAGGCUGUAUUACCUAGGAAUUUGUCCAUUUCAUAUAAAUUUUCAAAA
Molecule: long non-coding RNA, 3494 nt
Organism: Canis lupus familiaris (dog)
Lineage: Eukaryota; Metazoa; Chordata; Mammalia; Carnivora; Canidae
Exons: 17
Source: RefSeq, a predicted model, not a curated record